Molecule: ribosomal RNA, 626 nt
Filed under: uncultured fungus
Lineage: Eukaryota; Fungi
Description: eukaryotic LSU rRNA
Rfam family: Eukaryotic large subunit ribosomal RNA
Source: RNAcentral
ACCCGCUGAACUUAAGCAUAUCAAUAAGCGGAGGAAAAGAAACCAACAGGGAUUGCCCUAGUAACGGCGAGUGAAGCGGCAACAGCUCAAAUUUGAAAGCUAGCCUUCGGGUUCGCAUUGUAAUUUGUAGAGGAUGAUUUGGGGAAGCCGCCUGUCUAAGUUCCUUGGAACAGGACGUCAUAGAGGGUGAGAAUCCCGUAUGUGACAGGAAAUGGCACCCUAUGUAAAUCUCCUUCGACGAGUCGAGUUGUUUGGGAAUGCAGCUCUAAAUGGGAGGUAAAUUUCUUCUAAAGCUAAAUAUUGGCGAGAGACCGAUAGCGCACAAGUAGAGUGAUCGAAAGAUGAAAAGCACUUUGGAAAGAGAGUUAAAAAGCACGUGAAAUUGUUGAAAGGGAAGCGCUUGCAAUCAGACUUGUUUAAACUGUUCGGCCGGUCUUCUGACCGGUUUACUCAGUUUGGACAGGCCAGCAUCAGUUUCGGCGGCCGGAUAAAGGCUCUGGGAAUGUGGCCUCCACUUCGGUGGAGGUGUUAUAGCCCAGGGUGUAAUACGGCCAGCCGGGACUGAGGUCCGCGCUUCGGCUAGGAUGCUGGCGUAAUGGUUGUAAGCGACCCGUCUUGAAACACGG